This 1017-nucleotide long non-coding RNA is filed under the name Salvia miltiorrhiza (redroot sage). RNAcentral describes it as "long non-coding RNA (SMIL_LNC006245)". The record is from RNAcentral. Lineage: Eukaryota; Viridiplantae; Streptophyta; Magnoliopsida; Lamiales; Lamiaceae.
GGUUACAUAAAAGACUCAUUCGCUUCUUUAGUUAUAUAUAUGCGUCUCUUAAUCCUAAAAAACACUCUAUUCCCAUCCUGAUCUUUGACUUUUAGAUUAAUGUGCACCCAGCCAAAAUUAAACAGCUAGACGAUUAAAAUUCAUGACUUCUUUAUUAGAGAUUUAUCAUAAUUUACAGUUUAGUUUUUUCUACCUUGUGCUGGAAAAGGUGUCUCUCUAGAGUUCCACUUCACUGCCGCAUCAAUAUUUUCUUUAUAAAAAAUCUCUCUUUUGGGCAGUUGCUGCCGCAGACGGCCAACCUCUGCCCCAAUCGCUCCGCCUCCUUAUCUUGCUCCAAAACUAUAGCUUUAUAUCCAAAUCUAGAAUAACAUACCAGAAGAAAGAUACAAAAUUAUAUUGAUAAUAUCAAUAACAAUGUCAAUAAUAAUUGGGAAAAAAAAAAUAUGCAAACCAUAACAUAAUAAUCAUAUCCCAAUAACAUCGUAACAUAUACUCAUAUGCUCUAAAUUACAUGUAUUAUUCCAAAAAAAUCAUUCUAUACAUGCUUCUCUAUACCAGUAUUCAAAAUAUAAUCCACAUAUAUUGGUAAUGUAACCAAACAUUAUAGAAAGAGAGAUGAGAAAGAAUUUUAGCGGUCGAUCUCUUCUUCCUCGAAGAUUUGGCAUCUUGAUCAUCACCACCAGAUGUGUUGUCCAUGUUGUCGCUCUCGGAUCUGGUUCUUCUGUGCUGUUCAUCUCGGCUUCUUCUUCCAUUAAACAUUGAUUGUACGUUUUCCACCAUUCUUGCCAUCUACCCUUGCCUCUCCCAUGCUUCAAUCAUAAAAAAACAUCCGCAUCUUUAUGCAUGAAUGGAUGGAGAGAACUCGAAGAAAAUCGCAUUAAUUUAUGAGAAUUUAUCUUUGCUUCAAGAUAUUGUGAGAGAACCGUGUUGUGCGAGUGAGUGAGAGAACGUGUUAGACAAAGAGAGAUAGUUGUUGCUGCAAGAGAACGUGUGAGAGAUGAUUUUAUCGAGAAAAUU